Molecule: ribosomal RNA, 406 nt
Filed under: uncultured bacterium
Lineage: Bacteria
Description: bacterial SSU rRNA
Rfam family: Bacterial small subunit ribosomal RNA
Source: RNAcentral
UGGGGAAUAUUGCGCAAUGGGCGAAAGCCUGACGCAGCAACGCCGCGUGGGGGAUGAAGGCCUUCGGGUUGUAAACCCCUUUCAGCAGGGACGAAGCGAAAGUGACGGUACCUGCAGAAGAAGCGCCGGCUAACUACGUGCCAGCAGCCGCGGUAAUACGUAGGGCGCAAGCGUUGUCCGGAAUUAUUGGGCGUAAAGAGCUCGUAGGUGGUUUGUCGCGUCUGCUGUGAAAACCUAGGGCUUAACCCUGGGCCUGCAGUGGAUACGGGCAGACUAGAGGUAGGUAGGGGAGAAUGGAAUUCCCGGUGUAGCGGUGAAAUGCGCAGAUAUCGGGAGGAACACCGGUGGCGAAGGCGGUUCUCUGGGCCUUACCUGACACUGAGGAGCGAAAGCGUGGGGAGCGAAC